CAGCCGCCGCGGUAAUACGAGGGGGGCAAGCGUUGUUCAGAAUUAUUGGGCGUAAAGGGCGCGUAGGCGGUUUGACAAGUCUUGUGUGAAAUCUCUGGGCUCAACCCAGAGUCUGCACGGGAAACUGUCGGGCUUGAGUAUGGGAGAGGUGAGUGGAAUUUCCGGUGUAGCGGUGAAAUGCGUAGAUAUCGGAAGGAACACCUGUGGCGAAAGCGGCUCACUGGACCAUAACUGACGCUGAGGCGCGAAAGCUAGGGGAGCAAACAGGAUUAGAUACCCGCGUAGUCCCUGUCUCUUAUAC
RNAcentral lists this ribosomal RNA (301 nucleotides) under uncultured bacterium. RNAcentral describes it as "partial 16S ribosomal RNA". It matches the Rfam family "Bacterial small subunit ribosomal RNA", at positions 509 to 807 of the family's 1533-position model. The record is from RNAcentral.